RNAcentral lists this long non-coding RNA (330 nucleotides) under Nicotiana benthamiana. Its description in RNAcentral is "long non-coding RNA (NBEN_LNC030819)". The record is from RNAcentral. Lineage: Eukaryota; Viridiplantae; Streptophyta; Magnoliopsida; Solanales; Solanaceae.
AACACCAACCACUGUAUUGAACACAGACACAACCAACUUCCGAGCCAUGGUUCAACAAUUCACCGGUGGCUCAAUUACUGCACCAUUUGCGUCAACACAGGGAACCUACUUAGGAUUCGGCUCUAGCUCCUCCAAUAAUAUUGUGAACCCUACUACUGUUGCUAAUUCUGGAGCUUAUAAUAUACAGUUUCAACAGCCACAGCAACAAAAUGAAGUACCCUAUAUGUUCAGCUCAUUGGGUCGAACCAGCAAUUCGGGUAAUAGGGUUUCCACGUUGGUUUCUCCUAGUGAGAGUGGAUCUUCUCCAUCUAAUGAGAACAAGUCUGAAAA